RNAcentral lists this unclassified non-coding RNA (206 nucleotides) under Hevea brasiliensis (rubber tree). The record is from RNAcentral. Lineage: Eukaryota; Viridiplantae; Streptophyta; Magnoliopsida; Malpighiales; Euphorbiaceae.
AAACUGUAAUAACAACAAAUACUACUGUGAAAACUUCUUUCUGAUUAAAUAAUAAUAACAGGGCAUGCGGUAAAUUAAAUGACUGUAAUAGCAAAAGCUCUAGCUGCCUGCAAGAUUGAUUAAGCAGGAACCAGAAUAGGUUCUACAAUUUUUUAUUUUCAAAGUUAUCAUGAUAAAGAUUAAAAGAAUAAAACCAAAGCCAAAGG